AACGAACGCUGGCGGCAUGCCUAACAGAUGCAAGUCGAACGAGAUCUUCGGGUCUAGUGGCGCACGGGUUCGUAACGCGUGGGAAUCUGCCCGUUGGUGCGGAAUAACAGUUGGAAACGACUGCUAAUACCGGAUGAUGACGAAAGUCCAAAGAUUUAUCGCCAGAGUAUCAGCCCGCGUAGGAGAAGCUAGUUGGGGUUGUAAGGACGCAGCAAGGCGACGAACCUUAGCUGGUCUGAGAGGAUGAUCAGCCACACUGGGACUGAGACACGGCCCAGACUCCUACGGGAUGCAGCCGUGGGGAAUAUUGGACAAUGGGAGAAAGCCUGAUCCAGCAAUGCCGCGUGAGUGAUGAAGGCCUUAGGGUUGUAAAGCUCUCUUCCCCGGGAUGAUAAUGACAGUACCGGGAGAAUAAGCUCCGGCUAACUCCGUGCCAGCCGCCGCCGUAA
This 449-nucleotide ribosomal RNA is filed under the name uncultured bacterium. Its description in RNAcentral is "partial 16S ribosomal RNA". It matches the Rfam family "Bacterial small subunit ribosomal RNA", at positions 29 to 523 of the family's 1533-position model. The record is from RNAcentral.